AAAAUGGGGGCAGCCUAACACAUGCAAGUCGAGCGGAUGAAGGAGCUUGCUCCUGGAUUCAGCGGCGGACGGGUGAGUAAUGCCUAGGAAUCUGCCUGGUAGUGGGGGACAACGUUUCGAAAGGAACGCUAAUACCGCAUACGUCCUACGGGAGAAAGCAGGGGACCUUCGGGCCUUGCGCUAUCAGAUGAGCCUAGGUCGGAUUAGCUAGUUGGUGAGGUAAUGGCUCACCAAGGCGACGAUCCGUAACUGGUCUGAGAGGAUGAUCAGUCACACUGGAACUGAGACACGGUCCAGACUCCUACGGGAGGCAGCAGUGGGGAAUAUUGGACAAUGGGCGAAAGCCUGAUCCAGCCAUGCCGCGUGUGUGAAGAAGGUCUUCGGAUUGUAAAGCACUUUAAGUUGGGAGGAAGGGUUGUAGAUUAAUACUCUGCAAUUUUGACGUUACCGACAGAAUAAGCACCGGCUAACUCUGUGCCAGCAGCCGCGGUAAUACAGAGGGUGCAAGCGUUAAUCGGAAUUACUGGGCGUAAAGCGCGCGUAGGUGGUUCGUUAAGUUGGAUGUGAAAUCCCCGGGCUCAACCUGGGAACUGCAUUCAAAACUGUCGAGCUAGAGUAUGGUAGAGGGUGGUGGAAUUUCCUGUGUAGCGGUGAAAUGCGUAGAUAUAGGAAGGAACACCAGUGGCGAAAGCGACCACCUGGACUGAUACUGACACUGAGGUGCGAAAGCGUGGGGAGCAAACAGGAUUAGAUACCCUGGUAGUCCACGCCGUAAACGAUGUCAACUAGCCGUUGGGAGCCUUGAGCUCUUAGUGGCGCAGCUAACGCAUUAAGUUGACCGCCUGGGGAGUACGGCCGCAAGGUUAAAACUCAAAUGAAAUUGACGGGGGCCCGCACAAGCGGUGGGAGCAUGGUGGUUUAAUUUCGAAGCAACGCGAAGAACCUUACCAGGCCUUGACAUCCAAUGAACUUUCCAGAAGAUGGGAUUGGGUGCCUUCGGAACAUUGGAGAACAGGUGCUGCAAUGGGCUGUCGUCAGCUCGUGGUCGUGGAGAAAUUGUUUGGGAUAAGGUCCCCGUUAACCGAGCGCCAACCCUUGUUCUUAGCUACCAGCACGGUAUUGGGUGGCACCUUCUAAGGAAACUGCCAGGUGACAAACCGAGACGGUGGGAAUGAUAACGCUCUCCAG
This 1188-nucleotide ribosomal RNA is filed under the name Pseudomonas sp. RNAcentral describes it as "bacterial SSU rRNA". It matches the Rfam family "Bacterial small subunit ribosomal RNA", at positions 33 to 1196 of the family's 1533-position model. The record is from RNAcentral. Lineage: Bacteria; Pseudomonadati; Pseudomonadota; Gammaproteobacteria; Pseudomonadales; Pseudomonadaceae.